CGGGUGAGUAAUGUCUGGGAAACUGCCUGAUGGAGGGGGAUAACUGCUGGAAACGGUAGCUAAUACCGCAUAACGUCGCAAGACCAAAGAGGGGGACCUUAGGGCCUCUUGCCAUCGGAUGUGCCCAGAUGGGAUUAGCUAGUAGGUGGGGUAACGGCUCACCUAGGCGACGAUCCCUAGCUGGUCUGAGAGGAUGACCAGCCACACUGGAACUGAGACACGGUCCAG
Molecule: ribosomal RNA, 228 nt
Filed under: uncultured bacterium
Lineage: Bacteria
Description: partial 16S ribosomal RNA
Rfam family: Bacterial small subunit ribosomal RNA
Source: RNAcentral